GGGCCGGCUUUAGCCCAGUGGUUCCUUCGACUUCUACGUGUUUGACUCCACGCCUGUACCGAUCGCCUCGCGGGCGGUUCGCGUCCUGAGCCGAUCCGAGACCCACGGGCGCUUUCUGGCCCUUUU
This is a vault RNA of Monodelphis domestica (gray short-tailed opossum), 126 nucleotides long. Its record names the gene Vault. It matches the Rfam family "Vault RNA". From Rfam's summary of the family: This family of RNAs are found as part of the enigmatic vault ribonucleoprotein complex. The complex consists of a major vault protein (MVP), two minor vault proteins (VPARP and TEP1), and several small untranslated RNA molecules. It has been suggested that the vault complex is involved in drug resistance. Lineage: Eukaryota; Metazoa; Chordata; Mammalia; Didelphimorphia; Didelphidae. The record is from Ensembl.